GUUAUUUACCUAUAGCGCACGAAUUGGCGCGUGGCAGGCCUUUGAAUUUAUGUUCUUUGUUUUUGGCUGCCCUUAAUAGAGGUAUGGCUUUUUUUCAAGCUCAAUUGAAGAAUGGUGCAUCUCCCACUGGCAGUGGACCUCUUUGGUUCACUCAACUAUGGUUGAGAUCCUAUUUUCCAUCGCUUGGUACUCCAUCCAUUUCUCGUCCUUCUGCUAGCUGUUAUGGGCUAGCUAUGGAGCCUUUAACUCCUGUAAAUAUGUCCAGAAGGGACAUUUUUUCAUUCUUUUAUUCUUUAGAUUCAACCUCUUCCUUCUUUCCUUUUCCUCCUUUUUUAACUCCAAACUAUGUACAUCCUCCUUCCACUAUAGAUAGCGCGAGCACCUCCCUGCUCAUUUGGAUCCAAUUCUUAACUGGGAGGGAGCUUUUCCAUGAUAUCUUAACUGGGACCAAUGCCAAAGCAGGGGUAGAAAUUUAUGCUCCCCAAUUUUUUGCUCGGCAGCUUGGUUUCAGCCAAACUUGGCCUUUUCCUCUUUGCUAUUCGAAGAACUUAAUUGACCGUUUUCAUACCAUUAAUAAGGCGGAAGCAGAGGCUAUAAACGCUCGCAACCUACAUUUAUCAAGCCACUUUUCAUUAGCCACUUUUAAUUCUUGUCAUGCUACUCACCCUCUUUUUGAACAACUCUGGCCAUCGGUGAAGUGCAGAUUAUUUGCGACUGAGGCCAAUCGUGCUUUUCAUUCAUUAGACCAACCGAGUAUUUCUUCUCCUCCUCCUAUUUUGGUCACUCAUUUGUCUAUUCGGAGCCCCUCUCCUUCUCGUCGUACUAAACAAUCUACUCGUCCAUCUUCUUCUCUCCCCGCUAGGCCUACUACGGCCAAGAGUGCUCCAAGCUCAAACGGCCAGCCUCAGCAUCUCCCAUUCUGGAGGAUGAUGUUGAUGAUGAUGAUGAUGAUGCCCCUCUUAUUGUCAGCAAGAAGGUAAUUAAAUCGGUCUAUUUACAAGCAUGCUUUUCCACAUUUGAAACUUUUUUGUAUACUGAUGAUCUUUUGGACUUUUCAGAAAAGUUCAGCCUUCCCUUCAAAGGCUUUGGCGUCGACAACUCCUGCUCCAUCAUCCUCUGCUGAGGCUACUUCAUCAAAAUCGGUUGGUGAUGGGACCAUGCUUAAAGAUACAUCUUCAGUCCCAGAGUCUUCAUCACAACCCCUGGAUGAGCCACCUUCUUCCCAGGGUGUCGACCCCCCAAUCAUCGAAGCAGAAGGUAAUUCAGUUUUUGAUGUCUUACCUUUGCUCGUGCUAUUGGUUUCUAAUUUGUUGCCCUUGAACUUUGCAGAUACUCCUAUGAGUCCGCCCGUUGUGGCAACAUCUUCUCGCUCGGACAAGGGGAAUUCCUCACGAAUGGAUGAGUCGUUGGUGGCCAGCUUGGCUGAGGGCACACCAUCUUCUACGAUUGUCGACGAGGUAGUUUUUCUUUUUGCUCCAUUUCUAUUUCCACCUUGUUCGUUGUAGUGAGGAUUUUUAAUAUUGGCAAUCUUCUUUGCAGGAUGCUAACAGGAUUGUGCGUUCUAUCCAGGAUUUGUUCGCUUCCUGGAGGCAGGUCCAAAUGCCUCGCCCUGUUCCAUCUGAUUGUCCUGCUGCUUUUUCAGAAGAGGAUUUGAAGUUCUUGAAGGAGUUGGUAUUUGAGUACGUAUCCUUCAUGGAUAUGAACAUUGGAAGGACUAGUGCUGCCAGACACAAGGAUGAACUUGAGCGCUUAAGUGCGAAGUUAGAGCAAGCACUGAUGCUUCCGUCGCUCAAUCUUUCUGUCGAUUUUAAAGCGACGUUGAAGGUCAUUCACUCCGAGGUCCUUACUAUGCUGGCCAAGAAUGCUAAACUAAAGGCCAAGCGUACUCAAUAUCUUCGAGCCGUAGCUGAGAAAGAGUCUUUGCGCAUGGAGAUCAACAAGGCUAAGGACGAAUUGAAAGAAAUCUCUUCUGAAGUCAUGAUUGAAGACUCCUUGAUGGUUAACUUGGCUGCUUAGAUGAGGGAACUUCAAGCCAAAAUGGACGAUUGUAGGGCGAGGAUGGCUGCCAAAAAGCGCAACGCCUUUCAGGGAAUUGAGCGAACUAGAUCCUUGGUCGAACAGUACAAGAAGUUGGAGGUUGAUGAUGAUGACGUUGCGGCUGAAUUGAACAUCACUUCCUCCCGAUAGAACAAGGAUUGGAAAAAACUUAGGGAACGAAUUCGUUCCUUGUGGGGUAGAAUGUAAUUAAGACAUACGAUGUCUUUUCUCUUUUGUAAUUUUGUUCAUUAUUAACGAACAUUAACUUCUUGUGCAUUUAUUUGACGUUUAUUUUCUAAUCAUCAAUUCUUUAAUUACUUAACUGCUUUGCACUAAGAAUCUUGUCCAUUCCCAUUUGAUAUUCCCACUACUGUUCCCAAGACUUAGGGCCAUUUAAUUCCGUCUAUUAGACAGAAAUGUGGCUGUUCAUAUUCUGUCUCUUCAUCUUCACCCCCUAUAAAUAUUUCGCAUUUUUCAUCCUCUAUCUUCAUCUCUUCAUUUUCUUAUUCGAAACCAAUUUGCUGCCAUUUCUUGGCAUUCUGACGAUCAAUCUGAUCCAAAAAUGGACUGUUUAGUCCGUCCGCCUUAUAUUUACUUUGAUGUCACCUUUGGUAUGGGAGGUAUAGGAAAUAUUUUCUGGCCCGCAGCGAAGUUUUUUCCUGCAAAAUUCUUCCCAUCGUCUCCUUGUUCUUCACAAGAAGUCAAUGAUGGAAGGCAAUUUUUGGGCUGCUUGUGGGCCAUUUUGCUUGCUGAGAGAGCUUCUCAACUUGCCUGCUGAGAGUGUUUCUCAACUUAUUUGCUCGCCAUUGUAACGAUGCAUUUAGGAAGGUGGUGAGGCCAGUACACCCUCUCACUCAUCAAUCCCACCAUUGCAGCGAUGCAUUUAGGAAGGUGGUGAGGCCAGUACACCCUCUUACUCGUCGAUCCCACCAUUGCAGCGAUGCAUUUAGGAAGGCGGUGUGAAGCUUACUCAGCGAUCGACUGGGAGAUCAUCUUACUUUAGUUGUAUUUUGUAACACGUCCAUUACUUGUAUCUUUUAUAUUCUUGUAAUGAACGUUUGAUAAUAAAGAACUUUAUUCGAACGUAUUUCGCUCUGUCUUUAUUAUCUUUUGAUCGUCCAGAAUGUUUGGUUAUGUUUUUACCUAUUCGCAUUCCCAUAAAGAAGGAACAUAUUUUUUCAAAUAUUUGCCGUUAAUGAAUCUUACGUGCUUGGUGCCGUCUAAAUCUCCCAAGUGGUACGCUCCAUUAGGCAACACACUGUUUAUUUUGUAUGGUCCUUCUCAGUUGGGCAACCACUUCCCGUACUUUGGAUCCUUGGUAUCCAAAGGGAGUAUCGUCUUCCAAACUAGUUCACCCAGGCUGAACGACUUGGCUAUGACUUUUUUAUUAUAAAAUUUAGCCAUUCUUUGUUUUUGAACUUGCAACCUAUCUAAGACGUCCAACUUCAAUUCAUCUAGACUAAAUAGAUUUUGAACUAGUGAUUCAGCAUACUCAUCGUCAUUCAACUUAUGUUGCAAGCACACUCGAAUUGAUUGCACGUUGAUUUUCAUAGGCAAAACGGCCUCCUGUCCAUAAAUAAGUUGGAAAGGAGUAACUUUGGUACUUGACCGAGGUGAUGUUCUAUAAGCCCAUAAGGCCUUGUUCAAAUAUUCGUGCCAAUUUCUGGCAUUUUCAUCUAUCAUCUUUCUGAUGAUGUUUUUUAGAAUCUUAUUAGAAGAUUCUGCUUGUCCGUUGGAUUGAGCGUAGUACGGUGUGGAGUUUACUAAUUUAACCCCAAACUCGCUCAAAAAUUUGUUCACUUGAUCCCCAUUCAAAGAUGUUUCGUGAUCUACCAUUAAAGUUUGUGGAAUUUCAAACCUAUAAAUAAUGUGAUCACGAACAAACUCUAUAACAUUCUUCUGGGUGAUCUCUUUUAAAGGUACCGCUUCUACCCAUUUGGUGAAAUAGUCGGUUGCAACUAUAACAAAAGUAUGUUGCUUGGAUGAUGGAGGGUAGAUCUUCCCUAUUAGAUCUAUCGCCCAACCUUUGAACGGCCAAGGUUUAAUAAUAGGUGUCAUCUCUCGUGCUGGUGCCCUUUGUAUUGGACCAUGCUUUUGGCAUGCUAAACAACUUUUUGCAUACUGAACGCAUAGUUCUCCCAUCUUUGGCCAAAAAUAUCCACUCCUAAUAAUUAACCAUCUCAUCCUUUGGCCAGCUUGAUGAGCUCCACAUAUCCCUUCGUGCACUUCAGCCAUGAUCGUCUUGGCUUCUUGCAAACUUACACACUUUAGUAAUACACCAUCAGAGCGUUUCUUAAAUAACUCUUCGUCUAUUAGUGUGUAAUUCAGCGAACAUAACUUUAUGUUCCUACUAAUCCCUUCAUUAGGUUCUUGAAGGAACCCUUUAAUCUCUGUUCGUCAAUCCACUGCAUCUCCAUCUUGUAUACAGUGAAGUUCAAUUUUUCUCGCCCUUCUUUGAGUUACGGGCAAUAUGAUUCCAUAUUCACAAGUAGACUUCCAAUCCAAGACUUUUGAGUACCCUGAAGCCAUUUGGGCUAACUCAUUCGCCACGUCAUUAUAUAUCCUAUUAACGCAUUGAAGUUCUACUUGAUCGAAUUCCUCUAAUAAUUCUUGGGCGAUCUCAUAUUGACUUAUAAUGGAAUCACUUUGGCAUUUAAAAUCACCAAUCAAUUGAUGUAUCACCAAUUGAGAAUCGCCCUUAACGAUCACGUUUCUUACUCUCAUAUCUAUCAUUAGUUCUACGCCUACAAUCAAGGCUUCGUAUUCGGCCUGAUUGUUGGUGCACAUUCUGUCUAAGGUGAAUGCAAACUUGUAGCAAAUCCCUAAAGGAUUAAUUAAUGCUACUCCUACUCCUGCACCUUUAGAGGUCUUUGACCCAUCGAAAUACAAUACACAAGGUUUUAAUCCGAACGAAUUGAUUUCUAAUUCGAUUUCUUCAGGCAUGUCAAGGCAUGGAUGAUCGGCUAGAAAGCUAGUCAAAGCCUGAUUUUUGACUGCCUUUUGAGGUAUAUAUUGUAUUUCGAACUCUGAUAAAGCUAGUGUCCAAAGGCCUACCCUUUGGUGUAAAAUAGGGCGCGAGAACAUAUAUUUGACCAAAUUUACUUUAGAAAUUAAAUAAACGGUUACGGGCCGUAAAUAAGCCCUUAAUUUUGUACAUGUGAAAUACAGUGCUAGACACAAUUUUUCAACAGCAGAGUAAUUACAUUCACAUUUCGUUAACCGUCUACCUAAAUAAUAAAUUGCCCUUUCUUCACCAAAUUGGUCUUCCUGUGUGACCAUUCCAGCUAUUGAUUCUUUUUCAGUCAAUACAUACACUUUCAUUGGCCGUCCCUGGAUUGGUGACACCAACACCGGUGGACUUGAUAGAUAUGUCUUUAGGCUUUCAAAAGCCUUUUGAUGUUCUUCUUUCCAGACGAAUUCGUCCUGAUUUUUCAGCUUUAAUAGCGACGAAAAAACUUUAGUUCGCCCUGCACAGUUAGAAAUAAAGCGUCUUAAAAAUUUAUUUGGCCUAGAAACCUUUGCAACUCCUUUUUAUUGCUAGGUGGUUUGGCUUCUAAGAUGGCCUUCGCUUUAUUUUUAUCAAGUUCAAUCCCUCUCUUGUGUACUAAAAAACCAAGAAAGUUCCCUGCAUUAACACCAAAUGCACACUUCAAGGGAUUCAACUUUAGCUUAUAUUGCCUCAUUCGUUCAAACGAACAUUUUAACUGUUCGAAAUGGUCUUUUUCUUUAAUAAAUUUGACUAUUAUGUCGUCUACAUACACCUCAACAAACUUGCCUAUCAUGUCGUGAAAAAUUAAAUUCAUUGCCCUUUGAUAAGUUGCCCCUGCAUUUUUUAGGCCGAAAGGCAUAACCACCCAUUCAAAACAUCCUAGAGAUCCAAGACAUCUAAAGGCAGUUUUGUGUACGUCUUCUUCAGUUAUAUAGAUUUGAUUGUAUCCUGAAUACCCAUCCAUGAAAUACAUGACAUGUCCGGCAGUUGAAUCCACUAAAGAAUCCACCGUGGGCAUUGGAUACUCAUCUUUGGGUGUAGCUAUGUUUAAAUUUCUAAAAUCUAUACACACCCUUAGUUUACCAUUCUUUUUUAGUACUGGCACAAUAUUCGACAACCAUUCAACAUAUCUGGCUAUUCUUAUAAAACCUGCUUUCAAUAAUCGCUCUAUCUCUUUCUUAAUUUCAGGGAGUACAUUAGGAGCAAAACGCCUAGGAGGUUGCCUAUGAGGUUUAAAAUUAGGCUUAGUUGGUAAUCUAUGUUCCACUAAGUCUCUAUCUAAACCAGGCAUUUGUUCAUAUUCCCAAGCAAAACAAUCUUUGUACUCUUUUAACAAAGCGAUUAAUUUGUUACUAACCUCUUGGUCGAGCAUCUGGCUAAUGAACGCUGGGUGAUCCUCUCCUUCAUCGCCAAUAUUUACUUUGAUCCGAGGGUCUUGAGCUUGAGCGUAUCCAGGUUUGGCAAUCCACAUCACUUCGUCGUCCAGUUCUUUUGUAAGUACUUCCUCUUCCAAACAGUCCACCUUGUUGACUUCUCGGCCAAGGCUUUGCUCUAACUCAAAUACUGCCAACUUGUCCUUCAGCGUUUUUAGGGCAGUCUCUUCCUUUGCUUUGUCAUUGCAUUCCUUGUUGAAAGCCAUCAGUCUGGCUUUGAAGGCCUGAAUGUCGGCCAUUUGCUUUCGCAAUUUAAAGUCCAUUCAAGACUCUUUAAUUAUCCUUUUGCCAAUCACUGGCUCUUCCAGGGCCACUAUAUUUGGCCGCAUUUGUUUGAAUAUUUCAAUGAGUGCAUCCACUGAGAAUGGUUCUUCGCUUUGUGCGACGACCUGAGUUUCUUCCCCGUCUUGCACUACUCUGACAGGUCCAUAGUUUCCUUCGUACAUGAACUUCUCCACCGAGUUUGCUUCUGCGACAAAAGGCCUAUGAUCGGCCUGUACCACCUCUGCUUCGCCUUUGUCAUUCCGAAAAAUAGGCAUUGAUGGAGCAACGAGGGUAUACAGCGACUUUCGUGUAUCCAAUCCCUUCCUAGGAGCACGUUGUAACUAGUAGGACCAUCUAUCACAAAGAAGACAGUAGUCCUGGUAGUUGUACAUAUAGUUAUGUCCAAUGGCAUAACUCCCUUAGCUGAAGUUGCUCCUCCAUUGAAGCUAGUGAGGAUGACUUCUGUAGGAAUCAUAUCACCCUCUGUCUUUGCGAAUUUUCUCAUCAUCCUGGAUGGAAUGGUGUUUAUAGCUGCUCCAUUGUCGACAAGCACUUUUGCCACUGGGACGUCGUUAACUAGAGCUUUAACGUAUAAUGGCCUCAGGUGUUUUGUCAACUUCAUGGCUGGCCGUUUAAAAACAACCUUUUCGACAGCCUCUAUUUCUACCUCUUGCUUGUUUUCUAUCGACUUAUCCCCUUGUGAUAGGUCGACGUGCAGUAUGUCACGCUGAUCCUCUGCCUCCUGAAUUUCCUUCUUACUUUUUUCUAAUGCUUCCUCAUCAGUUAUCCAACCUGUGGGAGGAGGCAUUAUUCUUGGAGGUGACCCAUACUUCUCAGAGCGAGGCACUCUCUUCUUCCUUUUGGGUGUCCCGUACAGUACGUAGAAAUCGAAAGGACGCCCAGAUGGCUCCCCCAAUAAGUCUACUUCGCGAACUCCAUCUUGAUGUAGUUGCUUAAAUAGAGUAUUGCGUGAUACUCCUCUUUUUUUCCUUUCUGCUUCUAGGUCGAUUUCUUCUUCAAUGUCUAUCAUCCCAUCGUCCUCUUCAUCGUUGUAGGCCUCUCCAGAAGUCUGGCCUUUUCACAUACCAGCACACAGGCUUCUCCUUCGUUGUCCUCCCUCACUUCUUCCUUUUCCUUAUUCUUGGAUUCAUUGGCCAGUAGGUAGUUAUUGGCCACAACAUGAGGCAAUGUACCGAAUUGGAUAGCAAGGGGCUGAUCUGGAUCUUCCUCAUCCCUCUUGUCCCUCUCAAACCUUGAUCUCCCAGAAGAGGUUUCUGGCAGUUCUUUCAUUGAUUCAUCUGUACCGGUUUCUUUACUACCUUUGAGGACGUUUUGAUUGGCUACUUUGAGUAGUAUAGGCGCCUUAGGGUGUGGCAUUCCUUAUUGCUGCCUCAUCAUCCGUCUGCAGUUUCAUUGGAAACGCCUUUGUUGGGUCCUAGUCAUCUCAUCGAAGGGUAUUGCCCUUCCUGCAGUGUACUGGAAUGAAUGCCAUACAUUUGGCCGGCGAGGUUGCGGCCUAAAUGUUCUUCCAGCUCUAUAGAAUGAUGUACCUCGCCCUCUACCAGGCUGAACGUUUGGGAAGAAAACAGGGCGAUGAGGAUGCUGCCAUGUCUCUGGUUUCUCCGUGUUUCCAUUUACUUCCCUUUUACAUCUUGCACAUAGGACGUCUUCGUCCUUUUUUGGUUCUUUUCCUUUGAUUCGUUCAAAGACGCUGGGAUGUGGUCUAGGAUCUUCUUCUCCAUCAUCUAUGACUAACUUGAAUUUUGGUAACUUGUUCUUGAAUCCAAAUGUUACCAUGUUUACUCCAAGUGGCUGUGGGAAAGGAUUCUCGUCCACUGCCAUCUUUUUCUUAUCGUCGAACGUAAUUCGUCCUGAUUCAAUAGCAUCCUGCAAUACGUGAUGAAAAACCAAGCAAUUGUUAGUCAAAUGUGACCAUGCAUUAUGCCACUUACAAUAUUUUUUACCCUUUAUUUGUUCAGGGUUUGGUAAUUUGUGCUUAUCGCUCAGCUUUAUUUGCUUAUCCCUAUAUAAUUUAUCGAAUAUAAGGUCAGCUUUGGUCACAUCGAACAAGAACGUUCUAGCCUUUAUGUUUCCAUCCUUUAUGGGCUCAUCUUUGCCCGAUGGUCUAGGCUUAGCCAUUAUGGGACAAGUAUAUGUAUCCCCUUUUACCAAUUCGGCCAAACACAUUUCGACCUGAUCGUAUGAUUCGUCUUCGAUGGUAUGAACGUCAAAAUUUGGAUCUCUAUAAUAAGUCCCUUUACUAGAAUUUUUCAUUUAUUCUUCUUCUCUUAUCAGUCGCUCAUACCUAAUCACAUUCGCACUCAACUGGAAAAGGUCGGGAAAUUCCUUGUCCUGGAACUUCUUUUUUAAAUCAAAGCUCAAGCAGCCUUGUGCGAUCUUGACAAAUUCUUUUUCGGGCAGAGGUACAAAACACUUGCUUCUUGCUGUUUUGAACCUUUGGAGAAAACUUUCUGUCCAUUCAUUUAGCAUUUGACGUAGAUUCGCCAAAUCAGCCAAAGUGACUUCAGAUUCAGUUUUAUAAAACUGAGCAUGAAACAACUGUUCCAGUUGUUGCCAUGUUUGAACAGAGUUCGCUGGCAAGUUGAUGAACCAGGAGAAAGCUACUCCUGUUAACGAACUAGGGAAAAGUCUCAUUUUAUGGUAAUCGGUUACAUCAGCACUUUGCAACGUGAAUUGCCCUAUGUGUUCUAGAGUAGACAUCUCUCCUAAACCAGUAAACAGUGAGAAUUCUGGCACUUUGAACCCUCUAGGCUAUGGAUAUGCUUGGUCUACCCAAUCAGGAUAUGGCUUUGUGUACGUUGGCCUAAUGACAGGACGCACCCCAAAGGCCAUCUAAUCGUGCACGAUUUUCAUAAUCUGAUUCCUCAACAUGACAUUGGGAUCAUAUGGAAUUCCUACAGGCUGAUUAACCGGUUGAUUUGCAUGAGGUUUGAUGUUUGGUCCUUGAUUGGCAACAAAAUUACUAUAAUUAGGGCCAUUACCAUUAGCCUGGACAUCUACCCCCUCGUUACCACGUGGAAUAUUCUGUCCAUUGUUUAGGACAUUAUCUCUUAUGUUUGGAUUACUCCCCAAGUUAGGCAUACCACUCCCACUACUUUGAUUUGGUACUGUAGUACCCCCUUGGUUUGAAGUAGAGGGACCAGAAAGUGGUUCUACCCCUUNUCACUGUCCCACUGGGCGUGCCAAAUUGUUUUCGCGCGGGUUCGUCGCUAACAAUUACAAAGGAUCAGACGAUUGUGUAAGGGACAAAACCUCUUGAGACAAAGUCCCAAAAAGGGGUGUUCUUUUAUUGGCGAUGACUUUACAAUUGGAAACGAAAAACAACGUGCCUCCAAGGGGCGCAAGCACACGAGUUACUGAAAGGAAAGUGUUUAAGUCUAAAAGCUAAAGAAAUGAAAAUUACAUAUUCUCUGUUCGAGAGUUUUGGAUUCGGUCCUUGCUUUUAUGUCCUUUCUCCCUUUUAUACUUCAUAGGCGAUCCCUUUGUGAUUAACUGCUCUAAAAACUGCUUGAUCGCCCUAUAACUACCCACUUUCUUUGUAGUGGCCAUUUUGUUAUGAAACUGCCUUUUAACUGCUGCCAUUAUCUUGCAUCGUUCAACCGCUUUCGAUUGAAUUCCUUGAGUCAUGGAACGUGAUAGGGCUACUUUAACAACUGCCUUGAUAACUGCAUUUCUUGAUAACCACAAUGCGUCAUGUUUGUUGAUACCUUGGGCGACUUGAAGGUUUGGGCGAGAAUAGAAUAACAGCUCUGGGCGACCGUAUGACACUCCAUUCGUUCAGAUUCUUAGCGACUUGCAAAUUUGGGCGAUGGCGUUACCGCACUCUUGGACCCCUUAUUUGGACCUUCACCUUGAUUCGUUCAAUUGGAUUUCGUUCUUUGGGCUAUCUGAUUUGGGGAUCCUCCAAUUGGGCUUUACUCUUUGGGCUAUUCGAUUUGGACUGAAUUUUUUAUGUGUCAACAGUGUGUAUAUAUAUAUAACUCACCAAAUAAAGUCUUAUAUUUUGUAAAUUAUGUUAUGAAAAAUUAAUUUAUUUAUGACAUAAUGAGAUAGAUAUAAAUUAUUGUAUCACGUAAGUCGUUGAAUUCUUGUUACUCAUCGUAUUUUAAUCGAUCCAUUGGACUGAGAAACUCACCAAUACAUAUCGUUUUCUUUAUUGGCAUCCGUGUUAGAGCCAUAAAUGUCCAUAAAUAUGAAUUAAACAUUGUGGUCACAUUACUUAUUAAGUUUGUAUAGGAAAAGUUACAGUCGUUCUAUUUUUAAAAAAGUUAACAAGAUAAUAAUUAGUUUGUACGCUAUAAUGGAUAUUACAUUUUCAAAGUUUUAUUCAGACUGCAACAAAGAAAUUCGAUUAAGAUCUUACUGAAAGUUUAGUGAGUGUGGAUGAAAUUUUCCCUUAUCUCGAACACUGUUGGAAGUCUGUAUAACUUCCUCAAAAAAAUGGACAAAACCCACCUUUAUGAAAAAAAAAAAAAAAAAAAAAAAAAAAAAAAAAGAAAAAAAAAAGGUGUAUUAAUCGAAGGCAAACAAAGUGGUACAACUAUUGAGAGAAGAGUGAUAAAAUUGCACAUGGGAUGGGGACAAUCUCACAUGAAUCAAACAUGGGACUUCUUUUAUUUUGCUUCCUCAACGUAUAACAUGUCCUAUGUGUACUUAUUGGAGGAGAAUCUAUUGCAGGAGAGAAUCCAUUGAUGAAUAUUAGAAAGUAUUAUCCUUAAUCUUCGCCUCCAAAUACAGAUUCAUAUUCAGUUUAGUCUAUUCUGUUCUUAUUUAUAAUACAAACUAGAUUAGGUUCUUAUUUAUUUUGUAUUUAUCAUGUAAAUAGUUUAGACUUAUCUUAAUGUUUAUCACAUACUGCAUUUUGUGUAUAAAUACACUACCACUGUAUUCAUUAACAAGAUUGAGAGAUUCCUUUCUUGGUGUCAGUGCUCCAUAGUUCACACCUUUUCUUUUUCCAAUGGCUGAUUCUAGCACUACUUAUAGUCAGUGGCGGAUCCACAUGGAGUCAUGUGGGUUCAAAUGACCCCACAAAAUUUUUGUUUUUCCCCCCUUUCAGAAAAUAGUUGUUUUAACCGUUUUACGAUCUACUUUAAUACAUGUCAAAUGAAGUCAAAACAUUUCAUUCUUAAUAUCAUUUCAAAGCGCUCAUGGCCUAAUUUUUUGCUUCUUAACGGCAUGCGAAAUAAUCAACCAUAGCAAAAGUUACAAUGAAUCAAAGUAAGCGUUCCAAAUUUUCGAUAAUAUGCAACUUUUAAAAAUUGUCAAUGAUUGUAUAUUAUCCGAAUCCACAAAUUGCAUGAGUCAUCUAGAAGCUCAUUCCACGAACUAUAUCGAAUUAUAUCGAAUGGUCCAAACAGAUUUUAAAAAUAAUUAAACAUGCGUCAAAUGUACAUACUAAAAAAGGCGUUUAACACCUUUUUUUCUUUUAAAAAAAUUCCAAUAGUUCAUUAACAUUUAUUAUUUUUGUACAAUAUAAUUUACAUCAUUUUAUCAGAAUGAAAAAAGAUGUCAAAAAUCCUAAACUCGUUGCUGAUUAAAUGUAAUUUGAAUUAUUUUCAAAUUAUUUUUUUCAUUAAACUUAAAUUUAACUUUCUUCCUAAAUUAAAUGUGAAUUUUAUUUCAAUUCAUUUACUUCCUACGUACAAUUUGAUUUAUUCGCCGUUAAUUCAGCAUCCAUAAAUGAUAUGAUAAACAAAACUAUACAUGUUGCAAAAUUCAUUUAACAAUAUUGAUAAUGAUAUAAUUAUAAGACAUUUUCAAUGUGUCAAAAUACGUAUUAACUUAUUUUCAUUAAUACUAUAUUGUUUUAAAAAAUUACACAUUAAUUUUUGACCCCAAAACCCGAAAAGGUUGGGUCUGCUCCUACUUCUAGUAUGUUUCCGCUCAAUACGAUGGUCCAUAUGGUGGCCAUCAAACUCACUACAUCCAAUUUUAUUUGGUGGCGCAGUCAAUUUGUUCCCCUUCUUGAAAGCCAAGAUCUUGUGGGCUUCUUAGACGGAUCAUUCAUUGCACCUUCUCCUCUCAUUAUCAAAGGUAUUGUAGGUUCCAAAUCCGGCCUACAAGAAAUGGCAUACUCAAGAUCGUUUGUUGCUCAGCCUCAUUUAUGCUUCCUUGUCCGAGGAGUGUAUGGCCGAGGUUGUCAAUUGUGCAACUGCCAGCGACGCUUGGUUGACCCUUGAAACAUUGUAUUCUAGAAGCUCCAAGACAAGUGAAAUUCAACUGGAAGACGAACUUCAAUUGCACCCGCAUGGUUCUCGUAGUGUGGUUGAAUAUGCUCGCUCUUUUUGCUCUCUCUGUGAUCAACUCAUUGCCAUUGGAAAGUUAGCGGAUGAUACAGACAAGGUGCAUUGGUUUCUUUGUGGUCCUUGCCAUGAUUAUAAAAAGUUUUCCACUAUGUUGUCACAAAAUCUAUUGCCUUCCUUCGCCAACAUGGUCUCGUAAGUACUUAGCGAUGCGGUCUCCCUCAAUCCAUUUAUGGCCCAGAAAUACUAUUUGCCUACAAUGAUAUAGGUUUGUUGUAUGAAACCAAGAUAUUUUUAUUAUGGAAUUUUGAAAUGAAAGAUUUUGAUGACACCUCUUUUAUGUCAGGGAUACAAAUACACUGAGAUCGUUCUUAGGGUAUUUUUGGACUAUCACAAUAGAGCUAUAUCAAUAAAAUUCUUAAAGGAUUAGGGAUAUAUGUAUGUAAACCAGGUGAUACCCCUAUUACUAAGGGAGUUAAGUCUUGUCUCAAUUAAUGCCCUAAAGAUAAACUUAAAGAAAGAAAAACACAGAAAAUUCACUAUGCUUCAACAUUUGGGAGUUUAAUGUAUGCUAAGGUUUGCAUACGUCUGAAUAUUGCAUUUAUUGUUUGAAUGCAAUGCAGAUAUUUAAAUAACUCCGAGAUGGAUAUUUGGAAAGCAACCGAUUAAGAUAUUCGGUACUUACAAAGAACUAAGGAUCACAUGAUCACAUUCAGGAAAAUCAGACCAAUUGGAAAUCAAUGAAUAUUCUAAUUCUGAUCAUGAAAUAUGAUUGCGAAAUUUUGUCAUUGAGCUUCACAUUUUGGAUGGAUGUGAAAGAGCACUUUAGUUAUUUUGUGACGAUAACAAUCUCGUAUUCCAACAUGAACUUGACGGUGUCAAAGUUUAUGGACAUCAAGAUUCUAUUAAUUGAGGAAAUACUUCAAAGUGUUCAGGCUUUUAUAGAAUAUAUUAGGACAAAUUCUAUAAUUGUGAAUCCGCUUACUAAGGGGCUAUCACCCAAGGUCCUUCAUGAGCAUACUGCUACAUGGGUGUUACAUCUUUUGAUGAUAUGUCAAUUUAGUAAGAGUUUGUAUUCAGAUGUUAUUUGUUUUAGACACAUAAUUCUAUUCAUGGAUUUCAGUUUAUUUUAGAAUAAAGUAUUCAGUUCAUUUUAGAAUAAAGUAUUUAGUUCAGUUCCAUUCUGAUUCAAAUUUAUGGUUGAUCUCAUUAAAGAAAAAGGUAAGACCAAUUGAAAAUAGACAUAUUUAGAUCACAUUAAUUUUCAUGCUACACAUCCACACUUGAUCUAGGUCAUUUGAUUGUGUUGACAUAUGUGUCCAUUAUGGAUUAGUUAUGAUAUUUGUAACGAAAACUGCUUUGAUCCUAUAUUGAUAUAUUGAUAGAUGAGAUUGUUUGAAGAUACUUUUAGUUAUGAUAGCAAAAUUUUUAACGUCAUAAGGCUAUACACAUUUGUCAAGUAACAUAUGUGGCCAACGUGAGAAAUUCUUAGAAAAAAUUAAAAUUUUCAUGUGGAUCUGCAUAUGUAAUUAAUUGUGUAUAAUGCUAUCUUAAAGUUAAAUACAAAAUAAAAGUGAUCUAAUCAAGAAUUAAAUUAUUAGGUUUAGGACAUCUAAAUAAAGUGGGGAUCGAAUUAUAUGCGUAGAGACUAAAUUCAUUUAGAAUUGUAUUUCAUAAGGGACGAAAUACAUAUGGAAAAUAUAUAUAGGAUUAUGGUUCCCAAUUCAUAUUUAAUUUCCCAUUCUCUGUGUCAUCCCAUCAAUACAAGAAUACAAGAAAAAGCAUAUUUAAGAGGACGAUCCAAGAAAAACCCACAAUCAAGAAUCAAAAUAAAUGAUUUCAAGAAUUAAGACUAUGUAUCAAGAAGCAAAACUAAGAACUCAAGAAUCAAAUAGUCAAUAUUAAAUAUUCAAGAUCUGAAAUCAAGAUCUAGUAAUAAAUAAUCAUUCACAAAGAAUUAAGAUAUGUUCCACAUUAUUAAUUUUCUUGGUGAUUUGACAUGGAGAAUUUCGACAAUAAAGAAAUUUAGAUUUUCAAAUUCUAAAGUUUAUAGUUUUAUAAAGUUUCAACAACACUUUCUUAUUUUACGAUAUUUUAGCAUUGUCAGCAGAGGCGAGCUAUGACACAUUGCUAUAUUCCUAGAAAUAGGAAUAGGGUGACCAUAACCUUGCAUAUUUCAUUGUUCUCUCCCUGGUGAAUGUUCAUUAGACUGAUUAUGUACCUAUAUUUAUUUCGUUAUAUAUUUGUGCUUAUAUAAGCUAAUAAAAUAGUUAUCUUUGGAUGUAAAAAAAAGAGUUAAGCCCCUGUUUGGUACUCAUUUUUGGAGCCAAAAAUACAUUUUUUCCGUCACAUCAGCACACAAUUUUUGACUUCUACACUCUAAUGGGGGACUCGCGAUAUGAUGUUUAAAAUGCAUUUUCAUCUAAAAAAUGUGCACCAAACGGACUCUAAAUUUCAUUAAGUAUUUGACAUUCAACUGCGAGGUCUCAAAGGCAUCGCAAGUCCAUUUUUAGUUGGAACUGUCCAAAGGACUCAAUCAACUACUGUAAUUCAAGUUCCAAUGCUCAAAAGUUCAAUCUUGGUCUAGUUUUUAUCCAUUGAUAUUGAGUCAUUCCACUAAAAGCACAAUAUUGUACUUUCGAGUUAUAAAAAUUAUUAUAGAAGUCUAAAUAAUAUUGUUUAUUUCACUAAAGUAAUGAGACGAACAAGUUGAUGUUCUAUCUUCAUUUAAGGUUUGAGUUGGAGUCAUAAAAUGACUAUAUUCUUAUAUUUUACCUUAUGUCACAUUUUUCUCUUAUUUUUUUAACUUCCAUACGUUAAUUUAGCAAACUAUUUAUAAGCCCCUACUUGGUACAAAUUAUUUAAAAAUUAGUCUUCUACAAAUUUAUUUUUAAAUACAGUCUCUCAUAAAAUAAUUUUGCAUUUGAACACAACGCUUCAUUAUUAUUAUUAUUAUUAUUAUUAUUAUUAUUAUUAUUAUUAUUAUUAUUUUGAGAAAAUUGCAACCAGGAAAUUAGACCUUUAAAAAAUUCACACUUGGAGUCCAAUCUAACAGAUUCUGUUAGUUCGUCCUUUAGUUAACCAAAGUCAGCUAUUUGACCAAAAUUUGAUUAAUUUUUAAAGGUUAAAAUGGUAAAUUCAUAUAUUCUAUAGUAAAAUAAAAUAACUAAAAUAAAAAACUUAAAACAAAUACAUUUCAUCUUCUCCUCGUAUUCUACACAUACCCAUCCAAAACCAAAACCAAAACCAAAACCAAAACCAAGAACCACCUAAAGCCACUGCCUCACUCCACCCCCACCACCACUCACCCCUCUGCCCAUGCCGAUCGCCAGUGAUUCAAGCCAUCUAUUCAUUGUUGAUUUUGAGACCUCGAAAACUUAGUCGUAACCUUUAAAUCUAUUUCGAGCACCAUUACCCGACUCUAUGGAGCCAGUCGUCUCCAAGGCUAAACAAAGAGCUUCCCAGUCUCUCUUCGAUGCUUUUUGUGAGUACUAGGGUAGAGAUUAGGGAUAUAGUCACUAACAAUGAUCAUUGCAUUGGAUUUUCUUGAUUGAGAUCGAAAGAGAGGCAUAUAAAUAUCUCCAACUCUAUGCUUUUUGGUAUAUUGUUAUUGCAAUAUUUGUGCUGAUUAGGGAUAGAGAUUAAAGAGAGGCCUAUAAAUUGGCCACUGUAGUUGAAAUAAAACCAGCCCAAGAUAGCCAAUUGCAAAAUCUUGGAAUUGGCAUCGAAAGAGAGGCAAAUAAUGCAAAAGUGUAGGUCAGAGUGGUGGGCAAUAAGGUGAGUGGCAGUGGGUGGUUCCAGUUCUUGGUUUUGGUUUUGGGGGUGGGUGCGUGUAGGGGUGUCAACGAGCCAAGUCGGAUCGAGAGCCAAAAAUCUAAGCUCAGGCUCGGCUUGAGCUUUUUAAGGUCAAGUUUUUUUUUUUUUUUGCCCGAGCUGGGCUGAGCAAAAGCUCGACAAAAAAUUCGAGGCUCAACCUGAGCUUUAAGCUCGGGCCUUACCAAGUCGAGCCUGCUCGAUUUUUUUUUCUUUUUUUUUUCUCUUCCACUUUCAUAAAGGUUGCUGGCACGUUUCCUUUUAAAAAGGCAGGUGCUUUAAUUUUUUAUUUUUAUUUUUUAUUUUCAAGCCGGCCCGCGAGUCACAUUGGCAAGUUCAGGCUCAGCCCGACACCCUAAGGUCACCAAGCCUCGAGCCGGGCCGACUCAAGCUUUUUACAGGCAUGGCUACGGGUUGCUCGAAUAAUAAUAAUAAUAAUAAUAAUAAUAAUAAUAUCCACUUUUUACAAAAUCUACAUCAACUAGAAACUAAAUUACCCAGAUUGAUCCAUUAAACGAAAACUUGCCCUAGUGAACAUUCUUGGUUCCAUCUAAUAUACAUCUUUCCUCAAUACUCUUGAAGAACGAAGAUAUUGGUGACACUAUAAUCUCACUAUUUAAUGACUAAGAGCCUGAGUCACGAAGAUGAAUCCUCAACUGCUCAAGAUUAAGACAGGGAAUCUAAUGUGAUACUUCACCUGCUUCAUUGUUAGUUCAACUUCUCAUCUUGUUGAUUUAGAACUUUCAACUGCCUUAUUUUAAUUUUAUCUAUGCAUGAGUAAUUACAUGUAUUAUUGAAUACUUUAUUUUUAUUGUAGUCCUGCUAAUAAAAAGGCGUUCCCUUCAAAAUAUGUUAAAGCGACUAAUAAUUUGGGUACGUUUUGUAUAAUAAAUUGGAUAAAACCUUGUUUAUUGAAUAUUGCUUAUGGAAUCUGUUCUUUAUAUUAUCAAUUUUUACUUAUAUCAUUGGAAUAUUGUACAAUUCAAAAUCUUCCAUGAAUAAGCACGUAAGAAAAACAUAGAUAUAUAUAUUUUUACACUAUAUGCAUGACGAAUUUUUUCGACUAUAUAAACGUCAAAAAAAUACUUUUACAUAGGAUGAAGUGCAUAAAAUUAUUGAGACUUGAAAUUCCAUCUUAAAAUGUCAAUCUUAUUAAGAGGAGCAGUUCAAAUUCUUAUAUAGUGUUCUAUAUUUCGAUAUCCCUUAACACAAAAUAAACUCAGGUCCUACUGAAAUUAUAAACAAGUUAACAACAAAAGCUGAAAAGAAUAAAAAAUGUCCUUAAAAUGAGAUACACAAUAAUUUUUAUUGGGUUCAUAUGUUUGCUCAUGCUCAUUGGCCACUCACUAGUCAAUAAUUAGUUGCAACGUUACUCCAUCUCAUGUGGAUAGGACAUUUUAACUGACGUAUGGUGAGAGUCACGAGAGAUUUAAAGUAAUGAAUAAUCAUGCCCCAAAAAAUAAAAGCUUUGUGCAAUAAUGCGAUGGGCUAAUUUUAGGACCGUGCUACAUAGUCAUAGAGGAUGACACUUCGAUUGAUAUAGCGCACACACAUGGGGGAGGUCGGGAUUAUUUUAUUCAUGGGGACUCACAUCUCGGUUGUGAGUGCUAUGUCACCCAUUGUGUCAAGGCCUAUGUUCGUUUGGCUUAAUUCCUAAUUUUAUUAAUGUGACGACAAUUUUCUACAUAUAAAUGUAAUAAUUCGUGAAAGAGGACCAUGUGCCUUUAACUAGAAGUAGAAGGUUUUUAUGAACACUUGACCAACAAUCCAUAAAAGAGGAUGAUGUAUCUUAUAAGGGAAUUUAUUUAGUUUGCAACCUAGGUUAUAGAAUAUAUAAUUUUUAUGCUUUUGUUGAUUUAUCACAAAUACUAGAAAAUAAAUGACAAAUACUUAUUGAUUCAUUGCAAUAUCAAAAUGCUUUAUAAAAUAGAGUUUGUUUUAAGUUUUCGAAUAGUCCUCCAAAACUUCUGAAAUUUAUCGAUGGCAAGAUUCCUAUAACUGAUGCCAACAAAAUUUUGAGGUGGCAUGUUCAAGUAGUGAUAAAUCCCAUGUUAGGCACCUGAAAUUAUAUGCACUACAUAUUAAAAGGCCUUUUCGAAAUUAUUGAAAAUGACAUUCGUUGUCAAAGUACUAUGAUUUUUAAGGUUACCAUUUUGAUCAAGUUCUGAUCAAGAUGAAAUAUUGUCCUUGUUGUCUCAACGCGAUCGCUCGAGUUGAGUGCAGGGUGUCGAAAUUUAUCUCUUCCUUUUCCAAAUGUUUGAAAAUAAUCAAAAUUCACUCAAAAUCAUGAAAUUGUACCGAAGAAGAAGUAAUUGAUAGGAAGAAAAUGACGAAAUCUAACAAGAAUUUUGAUCAUUUUAUUAACAUCUAAGCUCUAUUUUGUUGCUUCUUAAUUAAGUGUUAAUUUUUUUAUUAAUAAAAAAUUGAAUCGAAACAAAAGUCGAAAAUCUUCAUUCAAGAGGUAAAACAUGUGGUUAGAUAAUAUGCAAACACUUCAAUAAGUUGAAAUAAUGGGACAUUGCAGGAUAUACACACUUGUUAUUUUUAAACUUGCCUCAUUGAUGUUUUGUGUUUCAAUGAUGUUUCCUUAAUUUUUAUUCUUAACGCAUAUUUAGGAAGAGCUGUUUAUGAUGAUUGGGGUAUAUGUUGCAGGCCACUUGAAAGACUUUCAACGGAGUUGUAUUGGAAUCACUCAUGUUUAAUUUGUCCGAUUAAGUUAGUAAAUUUCGAUUUAAAAAUAUCUUAUGUCGAAAUAUGAAAAAUGAUAUAAGUAUUCAUUCCAGACCGUUGCAUUCUUCAUCACUCACUCAAUGACCAAAAAAAAAAAAAAAGAUUGAGAAAUCUUAACAUCGUUUGUUCAAAAAUAUUAAUGAAAAUGAUAAUGGCUUGCUCUGUAUUUCACUUUAAUUACUUCAUUGUAGGACAAUAUUCUUCACUAACUUCAUUGUUAGCUCAACUCCUCAUGUUGUUGAUUUUAACCAUUCAACUGCUCCAUUUGAAUAUAUAUGAACAUGGUUUAUUUUAUACUUUUUUUUAUUGUAGUCGUUGCUAAUAACGACUAAUAAUUUGGAUAUGUUUUGUACGCUGAAUUAAGAUUAAAGAAGAAGAUAAAAUAAAAUCUCUUAUUGAGUAUUGCACAUCAAGUCUUAUUACACAUCUAACAACUUGCCUUUUUUAAUCUUUCAAUGAAUAUUAAUCAAGUACAUUGAGCUCCAUUUUUUUUUCUCAGAAAAUGCAUUUUGCAAUAGUGUUAUAAUGAAUAAUGUACGGUUAAAAAAUAGAAUUAUUCUACAAGUGCAAGAAAAACUAGACAGAAUUUGUACCCGUGCUGCAUUUGUAACACUUGUAUGACUUCUUUUUGUUUGUGUUUUUGUCAUCUUUCAAUGAUAAUUUGUCAAGUGUCUAUAAAAAAAUAAGGAAAAAUUUUACGUUUAUGUAUAAUAUUAUUUUAUUGAAAAAUAUGUGGUUUAUCACUAUUCAAAAAUGCAUUUUGAUGGGAAAAAAUGGGACUAAAACAAGGGAAGUCUUAUUACAUCAAUUUGAAAUCUUCCAAUGAGUAAACAUGAAAUAUUUGUAUUCGAAUGUUACACAUGACAACAAAUUUAGCUCUCAAUUCUUAUUACAUCUAACAACUUGCCUUUUUUUAAUCAAUGACAGUUCAAAAAUAAUGACAAUUAACUAAUGUCCACCUAAUAGUGAGAUUAAAAUGCUUAAGGUAGGGUUUGGUAGAAUUAGUUUGCACAUUAAUUCAUCCACUAAUAUAUAUAGAUUAAACAACUAAACCAACCAAGAAGAUUAUUCAAGUAGUUAGUGAUAUAUAAUUCAAUAAACUUUUCACAAAAUACUUAUAAUUACCAACUGCAAUUAAAUAUUGUUUCUCUUGCGUGGAAGAAAUCAAGUACAAAUCUUUCAUAAUAAUUUUAAUUAUGUAAUUAUUAUAAUUUUUUUCAAAAAUUUUUAGUAUUUUUAGCCCUACAAUUAUGUAAUUAAAUAUAAGGUCUUUAUAUAUAUAUAUAUAUAUAUAUAUAUAUAUAUAUAUGUAUAUAUAUUUCAUGACAUAAAACUAAUAUAAUUUUUUUUUAUUACUUUUAGCUCAAAACUCUUUUUUUUCUAAAACUUAUUUUCAACCACAUAUUCUCAUAAUAAAAUAUUUUUCACUUAAAUUUUUUUUAAAAAAUCCUACUUGUUAACCACACAUUUCCCAAAGAUUCACCAUUCCAAAACUCAUUUUUUCUACUUUAAUGGUAGAUAUGAUACUGAGCCUUGGUCUUAAAGAUUGUACAAUAAUUAUUAUUUUUGCAUUUAAGGUAUUUUAUCCAUAAAUAUCUUGUAAGAUGGUAACUCAUUUGAAAUUGAAAUCGAUCUGCUCACGAGUUUUAAAUGAAUUAUAUUCCAUUUGCUUGAGUAUUUAGGGUGUUUGAGCCUCUAUAAUUUUGAAAAAUGUAUUAUAAAAUAGUAGAUUGAUGAAAAAUGUGUGGUUAAAAAAGAAAGAAAUUUUUUUGAUUUGCGUGUAAUAUUAUUUUAAUGAAGAACGUGUAGUUGAAAAUGAGUACCGUAGAAAAAAUAAUGUGACGAAAUGUAAAAUAAUUGGUGACAAACAAGGGCUUAAUGCUCUAAUAUGGGUAUUAAGACAGCUGAAAAUACUUUUUCAAGAUGAGGAAAAGGAAAGAAAAGGAAAAAUCAAGAAAAAUUAAAUUUUAUUUACUUUUUCUUGGCUUAUACAAACAAAACCAAAACUGAAGACCCCUUCUUUUUAAUGAAGCUGAAUAUUGUGUUUAUGCUUGCACAAUACAUGUCAUUGGAAUAGGAUAGCCUACCAUAACCCAUGAAAUAUGUCUAAAACCUAAACCUAAUUAAUUAAGGAGUGCGUAAAUUAAUUUAUUUUUUGGCAAUUAAUUAAAUUAACAUUAUAGUUGUGUCACAAGAAUAUAACUAGUACCUAACUCAUUAACGUUUCUAGCUACUAAAUCUAAUUGUCCAUAAAUUUAGAAUUGUGCACAAAGAUGCUUUGGUUUUUAUUUUUUUAAAUUUUUUUGGUUCAGACUAUCACUAAAGUUGAAAGAUAUUUUGCAAUCAGGUUGUGUACAAAGGGAUGCAUAUUAAUUUUGAUUUACAUCUUAGCUCUGUUGGGCCCCAUUAAUUUUGAUUAUAAUGGGAGAAUAGUGUUUUUUUUUCUUUUUUUCUUUUUUGAAAAAUGGAUUGUUGUAAAAAAAUAAAAAAAUUUUGAUUUACGUGUAAUAUUAUUUUAUUUAAUAUAGUGUGAUUGAAAAUAGAAGAUAUAAAAAUUUAAUUUAAUAUGAUGAGAUGUAAUGGAGGCCAAACGGGAGUAGUUUAACACGCAAUAAUCAAUUUAGUUAUUAUUCUCUUGACUUUUAUCAGUAUAUGUCACUUUCUUUUAUUGACUUUUAUUCUCAUAUUUUAUACAGAAACAAAUUUUGAUUUACAUCUUAGUUUGACAAAUGUAUGGACUAUAAAUGAUUAUAUAACUUCUUCUUCUUCCUUUUUAUUAUAUAUAUAUAUAUAUAUAUAUAUAUAUAUAGAUAUAUAUAUAUAUAUAUAUAUUUUUUUUUUCCCCUUUUUAUAUGCAGUGGCUAGUGUAUAGAUUUCUCGUGGCAUCCAACCAAAUUUCUUGGAUGACACUAUGAACUUAGCAACGUACGAUAUAAUCAUGUAAUGAAAGGACAAUUGAGGGCAUUUGGCACCCAAAAUGCAACUGCGGAAAUUAUGUUCUUGUGGCUCCCCCAUACGCUUGGAAUGUCAUGUUAAAGUUUUAUGUCCUCCCUUGAGAAGUAAACCUCUAUUUGGUAUAGUAAAAAAAUCAGAUUUAAUAGGGUCGAAUUAAGGAUCGGACUAAAAAGUUUUUAAGCCAGAUUAAUACGUAAAAAAGAAAAAAGAAAAAAAAAUAACCCGAUGAAAUACUAAAAUGGGCUGAACCUAGCCCAAUCCCCCUAAAUCUGCCACUAAAAUUUUAGUAUAUAUUUUAAUAAAAGUUGAUAAAAUUUGUAGUUGAUAAUUGAUAAAGAUUAUGAGUCUAAUAAAAUAUGUGAUUAAAAUUAAUUAUUGACUUUAACUUAAAUUAUAAUCCACAAUUUAAGCUCUACUGAACAAGAGCAAAGUAUAGAAAAAUUCAAUUAAUCAUACGGUCAUUUCAAGGGUCUCUUUUAUCUCUCCGCUAGAUAAUUGUUACCAUGCCCAAUUAAUAUAGCCCUAGUUUUAAUGUUAGAUACUAGCUUUUUAAUGGAUGAAAUAGGAUACACCUACUACUCAGUGUAGAACAUUUUUGUCCUUCGAACACUAGUAAAAGUUCAAAUUUUCAAAGAAGAUCAUCUCACUUGUAGAUUCAAGCCAGUCGUUUUCCAUCAAAGACUGAACUCACAUGGAGCAUCUGUAUGACCAUAUUGAAUCAUCUAAUCCAGAAGUUCAAUAAUUUUUUCCUGAACUCAAUAAUCUUAUCGAUGUCAACUAUAUAUUCUUCAUAAUAUGAGUGAUUUAUUCUCAAAAGAUUGCCCCUACCCAUUCCCAAUAAAAGCAUUACAAAAUUAUGUUAAAUGAUUGCAAUAUUGUGCAUAUUUUCAAUUUCAAUUGCAAUUGCUUUCACGCCAAGGUUUUUCUAAAUGUAAAAUUAUUGGGAGAUGCUAAACCAUCAAGCAAGGUCAAAAAAUUCAUCAAUAAUCCCAAUGGUACCACCCCCAUUAAAAUUUUAUCGCUUUUCCAACUUCACUCAAUCUCCCAAUUACUAAAUGGACUUCGAUCAUUUUAUGUGAUGAUUCUUACAGCACUUUAAGAUAUACCUUUUAUAGGUUCUUUUCUUGAUUAAAACUCUACCAUCACUCCCAAAAUUGAAACAACAAUUCUAAGUUUCUAGCAACUUCUCCAUACAUUUUGUGGGCCCCCUCCCUUGUGAGGGAGUCUGUACACCUCAACAUACAAUAGACAAACCCUUCUAAUUAUUAUAUUGUUGUAUCGAGAAGUUGCUAGAAACUUAGAAUUGUAGUUUCAAUUUUGGGUCGUUGAGGGCCCCCUAUUGUAAGGGGGUUUUGUACAUCGGUAUAUCAAAAAUAGAAAAACCCUAAUUAGAAACCAUACAAAAUAUGGACAUUUUCAGAUAUAGACUACACAGGGUUCGAUAAAAUAAUAAAUAAACAUAAAAUAUAUAAUUCUCUGUAUUAACAGAUAAAUUUUACAUCAAAUAAUAAUGAAAAUAUAAACCAACAUAUAAUGGAUUGAGUUAUUUCUCUCAAUAAUGUUGACAUUUUAAAAUGGACCAUAAGUCUUAAUAUGAUAUCACAGUCUAUUAAACUUUAACGAACAAUUCAAUCUGAUUAAGAUCCAAAUGAGCAAAUGAAUUUAAAUUUGGUUUACUCCAACAAGCCACCAUCUUUCAAAACAUGUUAAAUGGUACAUCAAGUAAAAAUAUAAAUAUAAAUCAAUAUAUAAGAAUUUGAAUUACUCAUCUUAAGAGCAUCUCCAAGAGAUUCUAUUAUUAAAGAGAAUAUUCUAUCAUUUGAAGAGAAUCUAUAAAUUUAGGGAGUUAAAAUUUUGAAAUAUUAUAACAAACUCUUUAUGUUUGAUACUUAAUUUUACCACUUUUAAAAAAUAUUUAUUAUUUUUCUCUGUCUCUUAUUUUAACUAGCUUUUCUCUAAAUUAUUUUAUUAUUUUCCUAUACUGAAAAUUGAAACACUUUGAAUGCAUUUAAUUAUAGAGAAUGAGUUUGGCUUUCCAAAUUUAAAAAGUCUCUUGAAGCAUGUUUUUAAAGAUUGAUAUGUAAAAUAGAGAGUGUAUCAUGUUUAAAAAGACUUUCGAAAAUGCUUUAACAAUGUUGACUUUUUAAAAUGAAACUCCAAACAUUUAGGGGGUGUUCUCUUUGUGUUUCAGUUUUGUGUUUUGAGUUUUGAAUUCAUUUUGAGUUUUGUAUUUUGAGUUUUUGUUUUGAAAUUCUUGAAAAUGCGUUCUUUUUGUUAGUUUCUCAAAACAAAAAAAAAAUAAUUUUUUUUUUUAAAAUUUUGAGAAUCACCACAACACCAUCUCAAAACACCAAAAAAAAAAAAAAAAAAUUAAUUAUUAUUUUUUUUUUUUUUAAAUUUUUGAAAUACCCCCANNNNNNNNNNNNNNNNNNNNNNNNNNNNNNNNNNNNNNNNNNNNNNNNNNNNNAAAAAUUUUUUUUUUUUUAUUUUUUUUUUUUUUUUAAAACUUUUAAAAACCCCCCCCCCCCCCCCAAAAAAAAAAAAAAAAAAAAAAAGUGUUUCCCGCGUUUUCAAUUUUUUCAAGUUUUACACUGAAAACGCCCAAAACGACAAAAAAGUCGUUUUGUGUUUUCUUCACAAAUUUUUUUCGUUUUCGAAAACGUUUUCGAAAAUUCGUUUUCGAAAACGUUUUCGAAAAUUCGUUUUCGAAAACGGGAAAGAGAACACGUUUUCACCGUUUUGAAAAAUCGAAAACAGAAAACGACCCGAAAACGGUAAAGAGAACAGGGCCUUAGAUAACAUAUUAAACACACUAUUAAAGGUUGAACACUUAUUUAGCCCUUCUUUGAUUCCCAGUUUUUUUAAAAUACGUUUUUUUCUCUUCUUUUCACCACACAUUUUUCAAUAUAAUAAUAUUACACGCAAAUUCAAAUUUUUUUUUUAAACCACAUAUUCUCCAUCAAUUUACCGUUUCAAAAUGCAUUCUUCUCCAAAAACAGGGCUCAAACAUGUAGUUAAAUAUGACUAAAGCUAUUUUUCUUUUCAUUUUACUGCUCAUUAUUGGAUGUACUAUACCAACAACUUUUUAACAAAUAAUUCUUAUUGUUCUACGGUAGUGAAAUUCCUUAUUACAUAAUUAAGAAUUUGGACGAACGAUUUAGUGAUCGUCUCUUAUUUGGCAUUCAUAUAUCAAAUUGGAGUUGAUCGGUUCGAAAUUUUUAUAUUUAUACAUGCGAAAUAAAUAAUUUAAAAAAAUGAUUUAAUUUGGCAAAAACUAAAAAAAAUCCAAGUCUCCCGAGCAAUUAUGUAAUCAAACCUUUGACUAUUAAUGAUAGGGAAUUGGUAACAAAAAAAGUAGGACUCUAAGCAACCUCUGCAUUCAAAGAUUAAUAAUUGCAUAGUUUCUUGAUAAGUGAUUGAAAUCAAAAUAAUAGAAUGAAAGUGGCAGUGGCUUAGUGCAAAAGGCGUGCUACAGACGCAAAACACAUUAUUUUGUCCUAUGCAUGUCAAAAACACUAAAAUCGUUAGUUAUUGUUGUAUGUGAUAAAGUCGCCGAUGUAUUGAUGAAUCUUUGUUUAGUGUGAAAUUAGGUAUUAGCGUACUCAUGAAUCCAUUAUCAUGAGUUCGUUAAUUAGUCCAUUAUUGUUUGUAAAACUUCUUGGACAUAAGUAGUAGUCGAUGUGUGUGUGUAUAUAUAUAUAUAUAUUUUUUUUUUUUUNNNNNNNNNNNNACACACACACACACACACACACAGAGUAACGAUCUCCUAAGCACCUGCUUAGGUGGCACAAUACAUGGAGGGGUAGUUAUUGUGCCACCUAAGCACAGUGCUUAGUAGAUCAAAUCCGUGCGUGCGUGUGUGUGUGUGUGUGUGUAUAUAUAUAUAUAUAUAUAUAUAUUAGACAAUAUUAAAUCGAAACUUUAAGUGUUUUCCACCUUGAGUUUGAAUUGUCUAAGGUCUCCAAAUAGACAUUCUUCCAUGUUUCCUCCAAUUUGAAUAAUUUACCGUCGCUAUAGUUUUGUCUCUUCCACCUUCUUGGUAACUCCACUUGAAAAACUUUGGUAAACUUUUUCUUAUACGACCACAAUUUUCAAAGCAGAGAAUUACCAUAAUCACAUCAUAAAAAUUAUAUACAUUAGAAUCAACCAAUUCUAAAAAUUUCAAAUUGGAUCAUGUCGAACAACCUUGCUGGAAAUUAUGGUGCAAGCCAUAUGUUUGACUCCUCCAAAAAAUCAUUAGAUAUCAACAUUAAUUUCAUCACACACCCUGCAUGAAUGCCGAAUCAAUGCCUGUUUGCAAUUUUGUGGACCCGCUAACAAUAACACAUCUUCUAUUAUAAUAACUUGAUGGUCAUAUACAUGUUCUAAGUAUGACAAUAUCCUUCUCAAAGAAUAUUCCUGCCUCUCAUGGAGAAAAGAACACACUUCUACAACAUAAUCAUUAUCUUCUUGUACUAAUUUUUAGCAAUUAGUCGAACCUUGUUUACCUUUUUGGACAUUUUUUUCUUAGGGGGUCCAUAUUGUCUAUGUAACAUGGGUUAAUCACUUGUAAAUCGCACAAGCCAAAAUCAAUUCCCCUGUCAAAUUUCUCCACGCCACUAACAUAUAUUUACUAUGCUCCACUCUGCACGAUCUAACUCUCUAAUACCACUUGAAAAUUAAGACCAAGUCCUUGAUUUAUCCACAUGAUUAUUGUUUAAAGGCUUUAUUGAGAAGCCAGUUAAUAAUAUAUGAGAAUACAACACAAAAGAUUUACAUAGAAAAAUCACAACCUAAAGAAAAAUUAUGGACUGUCAAAGAUAUAUAUAUUCAAAUUAAUAAACGAAAAAUUUGUGCAAUCAUAUAGAAUCCCUCAUAGAAAAUAAACUACCAAGCACACCCAAAAUAUUAACACUGAAUGAGAUAACGAAGGAUCCCCAAAUAUCACUUCCAAGAGAGUCCAUGAUUAUCUUACAAAUUAGGAUCAAUAAACCACUGAAGGAAAGACUCUAAUUAUAGAAACAUAACAGGAGAACUUUCUUAGUUUUUAUUUUGAUGCUUUAGAAGAUGACUUAGAUUUUUCUUAAGAAAAGAGAAAAUUAUCAGGCUCGGUAGGCCGGCCAAGUCGACUCAAUGCAAGCUAAGCUGGUUCGACUUGGCAAAAUUUUUUCAAGAUUAUAAAUUUCAAAUCAUAUUACCUAAAAGUAGUAUCAUAUCUAAUAUUUGAUAUGUAUUACUAACUUCUUUUUUUUCUUUUUUCCAUUUUUUUUUCGUUGUUGCGGGGCGAGGGGGGAUAAGAAAUUCAAGAAGAAGUACAUCAAAUAAAAUCAUGAUAUUUAUUUGCUUUUUAUAUGAAAAUUCUGNNNNNNNNNNNNNNNNNNNNNNNNNNNNNNNNNNNNNNNNNNNNNNNNNNNNNNNNNNNNNNNNNNNNNNNNNNNNNNNNNNNNNNNNNNNNNNNNNNNNNNNNNNNNNNNNNNNNNNNNNNNNNNNNNNNNNNNNNNNNNNNNNNNNNNNNNNNNNNNNNNNNNNNNNNNNNNNNNNNNNNNNNNNNNNNNNNNNNNNNNNNNNNNNNNNNNNNNNNNNNNNNNNNNNNNNNNNNNNNNNNNNNNNNNNNNNNNNNNNNNNNNNNNNNNNNNNNNNNNNNNNNNNNNNNNNNNNNNNNNNNNNNNNNNNNNNNNNNNNNNNNNNNNNNNNNNNNNNNNNNNNNNNNNNNNNNNNNNNNNNNNNNNNNNNNNNNNNNNNNNNNNNNNNNNNNNNNNNNNNNNNNNNNNNNNNNNNNNNNNNNNNNNNNNNNNNNNNNNNNNNNNNNNNNNNNNNNNNNNNNNNNNNNNNNNNNNNNNNNNNNNNNNNNNNNNNNNNNNNNNNNNNNNNNNNNNNNNNNNNNNNNNNNNNNNNNNNNNNNNNGGGGCGAGGGGGGAUAAGAAAUUCAAGAAGAAGUACAUCAAAUAAAAUCAUGAUAUUUAUUUGCUUUUUAUAUGAAAAUUCUGAAAGGCCAUCUCAAGUCAAAACUGUCAUUCUCCUGUCACUAGUCUGAGCUAACUUCACCUAACCAAUUAUAUUAUACAUUAUGACAUUUCUCAUGAUCCUACAUUUCCGUACCAAAUAAGCAAGCCUUUUUCUUUUAAAAGACACAUUCCCAUUUAAGUUAUUAGGCAAAUUGAUGCCUAUGACAAGGUGUUUCAACAUGGGAUCCAUCCAACGAUUUUUACUCCUCCCUUUCUACUAGAAAAACUCCUACAUUGUUUCAUUUAAAGAUAAUACAAGUUCAUGCUCUCAACAUACAAAUUUUACAAUCUCUCUUUACUCUCUAUAAUUAUUCAUUUUUUUUUAAAUUUAAGUGGCUCAUGUCUUAAACAUAUGCCACACUCAAAUACAUACCCUGAUGUAAAUUGACUUAAUCGUCGAAGUACUCACAGCCGCCUCUACCACUGCGGAGAUUGACCACAUACUUUAAUGAUUUGUCCUAGUUGCAAGACUAAAAGUUUACGUCGACUCCAGAGGACCCAAAUAUGUUGGCCACAUCUCCCCUGAAAAAAUAUGAGGUCAAGAAAUUAUAUAUAAACACAAAAUUAAAAAAAUGAUAAUUGGAGUUUGUUAAGCAAAAUACAAUAGGUCACAUGCUGUCUACCGUUCGUAAAAUAAAUAAUUAAAUGGAAAGGAAAAUAACCAAGGAAAAGAGGCUCACUUAAUUGACAUCUAAACGUGAGGAAUGAUUACUUCGCUGAUUAUGCUGCUUAUAGAUUCAUUAAUAAAAAAGUUUAUGAUAAGUCUGAAUAUUUGAAUUAAAUUUAUUAUUUAUCAAUUGAUUGAUGUAUAAUAUCAUUGAUGUUUAACAUAAAUUUGAGCGCAAGUGCUUAUUAAAUCAUUUUCACUCUAAACUUUUAUUUUUACUAAUUUAUAACUAAUUUGGAUAAAUCAUUUUUAUACCACGUUGUAGGCUAGCGAGGGAGGUUACAAAUUCUAUCUCCCCAUGAUCAAUUAAUUUGAAAGUUUGACAUAAUCAAGCAUGUAGAAAUAGAUAAAAAUAAUCUAACAAACUUUUAUCUAUGUAAUUUUUUCACUAACGAUCAUCCCUUAACUAAUUUAUGUAGAAAGGAUAUAUAUAAUUUUUCUAAAUGUGUAACAUGUUCAUUCAUUAGUAUGUCAGAUUCUUAAACCUUUAACACGUGAUAAUUUUUUAUAAAUACAUUGUCGAGAUGUUUAUACUUCUAUAUUUUAUCUAAACUUAAUGACAAUAUUUCUUCAGAGAUAACAACGGAUUUAACUAGGUCCUAGGAGACAAGUCUCAUUGAGGAGUUUUAAGAGACGAAGUGGGAUUAAAAUAUCUUCCUUUAUCAUAAUGUUUUUUAAUUAAUUAUAUUUAUAAAUAUGAUUCAAAUUGUAUUUAAUAAAAAUAAAAAGGAGUGGUACGGAUCGCUAAUAAAUAACUUUUAUUUUGUUUUAGUUUUGGCUAACUUCUAUCAGCAAAUUAUACUGAGGCAUCGUUUGGUACACAUUAAUGUAAAAAUGAAAAUGAAAAAUAUAGUCAUUAUGAAUCCCAUACAAGGGAUAGAAAUUCAAAUUUGAUAAUUUGAUAUAAUGGAUAAUGAUCAUAUUUUUCAUUUUAAUGAAGAAAAAAUGAAAAACAAAUGGGCUGAAGAUGAUGACAUUUCUCAUUUUUCUUGUACAAAAUGCAAUCGCAAGUUAGGCAAAUUCUCGAAUUUGGGAUAAAAAAAUGUCAAAACCAAACAGACCCACCCGAUUGCGGGCCGAUUUUUUGUACAAAUAUGGAGUAAGCAUAUUCCUUGCGGGACCCACAAUGGAACAUUCUCUUUUGGGUGCCAUGGUAAUCAGAAGGCAAAUCCGCCACGUUGGAAAAUAUGCCAGCGUGUAAACUAUCUUGCCAUCUGGAUCUAUUAUGUUAUAGUUCUUGUUUAGUGGAGAUUAAAAUUAAAUUCUUAAUAGAUUUUGAUAAAAAUUGUUGAAAUAUUUUGUCAAAAAAUUGUGGAUCCCAUAAAAUUUAUAUUUAAAAUUAGUUGUUGACUUUGACACUUACAUUCUUUUUGUUUUCAAAAUAUGGGUGGACGAGCAAAUUAGUUUUUUUUUUUUUAAUUGACGAAGCAAAUUGUCAAACUUGGUGUACACCACCAAGCAUGAUUGUUAUAUAUAAUCGUACGCAAAAAUAUAUUUUUGAUCCCAAAACUUCUUAUAAUGCUAAAACUAUAACAAAUUAUUAAAAAUAACGAAAUAAGUUUAACGAUAUAUACAUAUAAUUCAAAACGAAUAAAUUUCGACUUCAUGCUAUGCUAUGUCGAUAAUUUUGGUCUAGAAUAUACCUCGAAUAUAUAAUAAUUUCUUUAAUACACCCUAUUGUUAACUUUUAUUAAACUUGAAAACACAUUUUUUUAUUUUUUUAUUAUUUUUUUAUUUUUAUUUUUUUUUGGAGAUAAUUGGAGUUUGGUGUAAGCAAAAUAAAAUAGAACACAGGCUGUCUUCUGUUUAAUCGACAGCUGGUUUGGUCACUAUGGACAGCUUUCUGCUUGGAAUUCCGAGAUUGUAAACCACAUCAACUUUAUCUCCCAACUUUGUAUACUAAUCAAAUAAUUACUAUUUAAAAAUAAUUUAGCUUUUACUUUUUAAAAAUAUUGAAAAGUAAUUGAUUUAUAUUUUUUGAAAAUAAAAAUGUUUACAACAGAGUGAUGUCCUACUCAAUUCAGCUAAUAUUCAAUCCCUUUUUAGAUUAUUUUUUUUNUUUUUUUUAUAUUUCUCCCUCAAUUUUUAGUACAACUAAAUUUUGUUCAGAAGUACAUAUUGUUGAAGUUGUCCCGCAUCGAUUAUGGAUGAGGUUGAUAUUUAGUUCACUAGUGUGAGGAAAAGUUUCACAUCUUAAACUAGCUUUUAAGGUUGAAAAGACACAAUACCAUCCAACACGGGUAUCAGAAUUUGAUUUAUCAACAAGUCUCCGAUCCAAAAGUCACGAAGAUACGGGUUUAUGUGAAAGGAAACGGAUUUGAUCUCCUGCAGGCCCUGUUGUGUGAGGGGGAGAUGAGUUUGGUCUAUCGCAGGGCCCGAUAUGUGAUGGGAGACUUGUUUUGUCUCCCACAAAGCCCGAUGUAUACGUGGGAGAUUGUUGAAGUUGUCUCACAUCGAUUGUAGAUAAAAUUGAUAUAUAGUUUAUAAGUGUAAAGGAAAAAGUCGUUCAGGAUUGAGAAAGCUCAAUACCGCCCUACACAUAUUUUAGUGUUAAUUGUCGUGUUCCUAUGUAUUUUCAAAUGUAAAUCUUACUUAAUUUAUAAUCAAUUGAUAUAAGAAGUAUUAUUAACUGCAGUGUUUCAAUAUUUAUUAAGAACUUAAUGAUAAGAUCCACUCGUUCAUCAAAUGACAUAAGGAAGAAGAAAAAAAAAGUGGAAAUUGGUGAAAUGAACAUUGAAAGUUUCUUAAGAAAAUACCAAAUCUUGAUGCAAUAGACCAUUAAUAAUCUCUAUAAUCUUCGUUUAAUAGUAUUCACAAAUAAUAUACAAUAUUUCUUCAAAUUUGUAAUAUUAAAAUCAUUUGAUAAUAAAGAUGACAGUGUUAAUGGACACUCAAGUUAUCAAUUGUUAAAGUAAUAAUUAUCUAUAAAUUGAUUAUUAAAAAUAACUUUCAAUUAUUAGAUGUGAACAUAAGUUGUGUAUAUCUUCUUCGUAUCAUAUUGCCUUUUUUUUUUUUUUCUCUAAUAUAAUUUAACUCCAUAAAUUUCAAACAACAAUAGUAACAAAACAAGUAUAAUUUAACGGAGAAAUCUUCUUGAAUAGGAACCUACCCGAAUGUAGAUAAUUGACCAAUAAGGGGCCGCCUUGUCGACACCUAAUUGGACAAGCCCUGUCCAUAUAGCAUCUCUCUAAUUUAGCUCAUCUAAAAUUUUCUACUCAAUAUGGUUUUAGCUUUCUUAAUCGCUCUCUAGUAUCGGCCCCUAAUUGGACAGACCCUGUCCAUAUAGCAUCUCUCUAAUUUAGCUCUCUCCUCAAUAUGGUUUUAGCUUUCUUAAUCCCUCUCUAGUACCGUUCGAAGCCACCAAUUUGAUGCACGUAACAAGUUUGAAAGUGAAAAAAUUUGGCCUUUAGUUCCCCUUAAGACAAAAUCACUAUAAAUAUCCCCAAGCAUUUCUUACGAAACCUUGAACUACACGAGAGAGAGCGAGAGAAACGGCAUAACUGGUUCCCACCGUCCGCACUUUCUCGCUCUAUACCCUCUCUCCAGAGCUUCCAAACGAAGUUUAUAGCAUCGUACUACCUCUAAAGGGCUCUGACUGUGUUUUUUUUGUGUGUUAAAUGGCUGUGACAAAGAGCAACAGGAAGAAACACCAGAGUUAUAUUUCAGUGUCUUCUCAAAUUAUCAGCUCAAUCUCACAAUCUUCACUCGAGUGUUUGCUAGAAUCUCCCAAGAAAAAGCACAUUUCUUCCUUAAAGCUAAGGCCUUUCUUGAAGAAUCCAAGAUUCUGGGUUUUCUUGAUGUUUGUGCUCUGUUUUCUCUGUAUGUUGAAGAUGUGGUUCCACUUUGAGCCAGUAACGCCUCUGACACAGAACAUAUAUUUUACUCCUCAAGAAAAGACAAUAUUAUCAACUGGGCUCUCAAGUUCUCAGCUGAAUCUUGUGGAAAUUGAAGAAACAGAUAAUAAAAUUGAGUUUUGGAAACAGCCUGAGGGGAUGGGGUAUAGGCCUUGUUUGGAUUUCAGUGUAAAAUAUGGAGAGGAAACUGAUGAAAUUAUGAAGGAUCGGACCAAGUAUUUAAUGGUGGUGGUUGCUGGUGGACUGAAUCAGCAGAGGAAUCAAAUUGUUGAUGCUGUGGUGAUUGCAAGAAUUCUUGGAGCUUCUCUGGUUGUUCCUAUUUUGCAAGUCAAUGUCAUAUGGGGCGAUGAAAGGUUCUUUCUUUUGACCAUUUCUUGAUUUUUCAGCCAUGCAUAUACAAUCUUUAUUCAAUUUGACCAUGUCGUAUAAUGGUUAUUUAAUCUUUCCACUCAAGUAAACUAAGUCAUUUUGGUACAUUUUAAUCAAUGAAAAAUUUCUGGUUUUCACUGAAAAUGGUUGAGUUCUUGAUAUCGUGGAGGAAAUUGAUAAGUUGUUCUGUUACUCUUGUGAUUGUUGCAGUGAAUUUUCUGAUAUUUUCGAUUUGGAUCAGUUCAAGAAUGUUUUGGCUAAUGAUGUUCGAAUAGUUUCAUCACUUCCCUCAACACAUCUGAUGACAAGGCAUACAAGGGAAAAGACGACUCCUCUUCAUGUUUCUCCUGAAUGGAUUCGCUCACGCUACCUUAAACGGGUAAGAAUUUACAUUGACAUGCCUAGUGUUUUCGAGUGCUUGUUACUUAAGCAGAAUGGUAAGGAUUAAAAUAUAUUGAAAUGAACUGGAUGCUUCAUUGGUAGCUAAUUUCAAUACAUGAUCAAUGACAUCAAUGUCUAUCUGCUUAUGACCUCCCAAUCCGAUUGGAUUGGUCAUCAAAACCUUGAAAUUAUUGGUGAACAUCUAAAGUAGUUGUCUGGUAGAUUGUUAUUUCAUAGUUGAACUUUAUCUAUUGACGUCUCAAAAUUAUUGACAAAUUCAAGUGAGUGACGUAUUUGAACAGCUUUUUUUUUUUGUCGUCUGCCUGUUUUACUUUCAUUUUGAUAUUUUGAAGUAUUUUGUAGUUGAAGAAUUUGAUUUGUAUGUCUUUUUUGGAACCCUGCAGCUUAAAAGGGAUGGUGUAUUACUUUUACGUGGCCUUGAUUCCAGGCUUUCCAAGGAUCUUCCUUCCGAUCUUCAAAAGCUUCGCUGCAAGGUAGUUGGUGUACUCUUCUUGGUGCAAUUGACAUAGAGAGCUGUUACCCCUACAAACUUUGGAAUUUAUCCUUGGCUAUUUUCUUGAAAUUUAGAGUUCGUUAAUCGAGUUCUCUUUCAAAUUGUAGGUGGCUUUUCACGCAUUAAGAUUUGCCCCACAUAUCUCAGAACUUGGGAACAAACUUACUGAGAGGAUGAGAAGGAAGGGACCAUAUCUGGCUCUUCAUCUGCGUAUGGAGAAGGAUGUAUGGGUGAGAACAGGGUGUCUUCCUGGUCUAAGCCAAGAGUACGAUGUCAUGAUAAAUAAUGAGAGGAAGUCACGGCCGAAGCUCUUGACUUCAAGAAAUAACAUGACCUACCACGAUAGAAAACUUGCAGGCCUCUGCCCCUUAAAUGCCUUGGAGGUCACACGGUAAGCUUUUGAAUUGCGAAAAUCUCAUUAAUGGAACUAGUAGGAUAGGACGACUCCGUCUGAGUGAUAUGUCUUCUGCGUUUAGAUUGCUGAAAUCAUUGGGAGCACCAAAAAGUACAAGAAUUUAUUGGGCCGGAGGGAUUCCAUUGGGUGGAAAAGAGACCUUGCAACCUUUGACUAGAGAAUUUCCUCAUUUCUAUAACAAGGAAGACCUUGCCUUGCCUGGGGAGCUUGAACCAUUUGAAAAGAAAGCUUCAUUAAUGGCUGCUAUCGAUCAUAUAAUUUCUGAGAAUAGCAAUGUAUUUAUGGCGUCUCAUGGUGGAAAUAUGGGCCAUGCAAUUCAGGUAUCGCAUCCGUCAUCUAGCAAAAGAUCACUUCUUAUCAACUCAUUAUCGUUUAUUUUGCAUUGGUCGAAUUUAACUUGUGAAACAGGGGCAGAGGGCCUAUGCAGGGCACAAAAAGACCAUCACACCUAACAAAAGACAGAUGAUACGAUACUUUAUGAAUUCUUCUCUCCCUGAAGCGGAAUUCAACAAAAUUAUAAUGGAUUUGCACAGAGAUUCCUUGGGGCAGCCAGAACUUAGGACAAGCAAAGUACGAAGGGACGUGACGAAAUAUCCUGUCCCAGAGUGCAUGUGCAAUAAUUCAGUGACACAUUCCUCUUUCUAACUUCUCAUGGUAUCACUUGUCAUGGCACUGAUCCUGGCAUCAUUUUUGAUGAAUAAAGGUCAUCAAGAAAGCUCCAAACAGGAUGUAUUUUACGAAUUCAUUAGGGCUAAGCCUUUACAUUUCUACACAAGCGCAUAUUCUUAGAGGUGCACUGCCAUUUGUGAAAGCAGGGAUUUCACUCCCAGCCCCAGGCCACAUAGAAAGAAUGCACAUAUUUGCUUAUCUUGGUUCAUUUGUACAACCAGCACCAGGAAGAGAACUACUAUGCUUAUGGUAUAGAUUAACAGAAUACUCCGGCCUGUUUAUGAGACGCCUCGAGUAGUUAUUCAGGAAAUGAAUAUGUAAUUUUUUAUUUAAUUGAUUAUUAGCUAUAUCUAUGUACAAUGUCAUUAAUGAUAUAUACACACGUACAGAUUCCUUUGAUGAAGUUUGUUCUAAUUUCUUGAUUCAUUUCACAGUUAAGGUUACUUGAUUCAUUUCACAAUUAUGUGUAUUUUUGCAUGUUACUUGAACUUGAAACCUCAUUUUUCAGUCAUUUAUUAGUUGAGAAAUAUGAACAACUCUCUCUAAGGAAUUCGGCAAUAUAGCCUCGUAACUUUGGGAGAAGGGGUGCCUCCUCGCAAAGGGGGUUGCAGUGACCACACCCUUUUUAGUGCGAUUAUAUAAGCAAAUGGCUGAACCAAAUAUGUUAUUGAUAUGAGAGUUUGUACAAGUACAAGAGGAAUGUUCAUAUAAAGUUAUAGAAAAGCUAAGGUACAAAAUGUUCAUUUUGCGACGGAAAUGUAGAACAUUAUGCAAGUCCCCUAACUUCAGAAUAUGAGUACUAUGAGCAAUUAUAGUAUGUUCGUCGUUGAUGCUACGAAAUCCGUCAUUUCAAACCGCGAGUUUGACUCUUUUCUUUUAAAACUACAAUGUCCUUCGUGAGUACUUGUUUUUGAGAAUACAAUGACCACGUCCUAUAAUAGGAGCAUUCCCAAUUACAUAGACUAGAAAACUGACUAACGUUUUGAACUCUCUUCAUAUGAAACUCAACUCAAAAUAAAUUAAAAAUAUAUAUUUUUUGAAGUGACUAUAGCAUAAUGUAGGGAUGAAGUGAAUGAUUAAAGUUUCAAUCAUCUGGUCUAUUUAUGAUAAAUAACAAGUAGUGUCUCAAAUGGUACCAUCCGAUGAAAAUCCAUGAUCGUGAGAGAGAAUUUUUAUUGAUAGCUUAUGAUUCGUUAUUGUUGAUGAGUUUUCUUAUCGAAGUGAAAUCUAUUUAGGAAAAAAGUGUAAAUAAUUAAAUUGGUUGCACCUAACAUUAUUAUUAGUGGGUUAGAUCACCUAAAUCUUAUUUAAAGAGAAAAAAAUUUGUGGUUUAAAAAAAAAAAAAGAAAAAAAAGAAAAAGAAAAAUCCUUUAUAUUGACACUACAACUAAUAAAUUGACCUGAAUGUAGUCUUAUAUAAGGAGGGUAGGUAUCCGACUAUUUAUGUUAUCAGCAUGAUUUACAAUCAUUAAAGAAACUACGAAUCCUAAGAAAGCAAAACUUAAUUACUUAUUUUAUUUAUAUUUCAAAAAUAAUCUGCCUCUUCACAAAUGAUAUAUGAACCUAAAACUUUGAUAUGCUCUAAUAUAAUGUAGAAUAUUCCUGUCUCAAAUCGUAGGAUAUUCAAGAAGAAUAUACGAUUAAUAGACAACCUAAUUACUCAUGACAAACAAAAAUUUAAAUGAACUUGGAAAAACGUGAAAUCAGUUCAAUCUUGUGAUUUGGGUUAGUUCGAGUACUUCCUUUCUUUCUUUUAUAUGCUAAGCAAAAAAAAAAAAAAAAUCAUAUUUUCAAUAGAUUUUGAGAAAAAUUGAUGAAAUUUGUGAUUGAAAAGUAUAUAAAAGUUGUGAAUCCAAACAAAAUGUAUAAUUAAAAAUAAGCUGCUCUUUCACUCCUCCCUCGGCUGCCUCUCUUGCAACAAUACACACCCACACAGAGAAAACACGCGGCUUGUGUGUAUAUAGGCAUUAGGUUUAAUUUUGGGCCAACACUUACUCAUAAUAGGCCAAGAUAAAGGGCUAUACAUUAACCAAUCUACCAACCCAACUCAAACGUAGGCCCUCCAAAGGUGCAUUAAUUGUUUCCGAGUCGAACCGUCACUUUGGUGUUGAUAAAAAAUCCGACAAAUGUUUUAAAUCGUCGCCUGGAUUUAUUGGGUAUCAAAAACCAACAAAGACCAAACAAGUGUUCAAUACUAAUAUGUGAUUUAUAACUUCGUGUUUCAUAUUUGUUGCUCAGAGACAACCCUUUGUUCCUGCUUAACUUACAACCUAUUGUGGAUCUGUAAAUAGCUAGCCAUCCAUAAAUUCCCUUGCUUCUAGUACUUUUCAAGUCAAGUUGUUAAUUCUUGAUCUUUUGAUUCAAAGACCGGGUAAAGUAAGAGAGCAUAAUAUCUUCAUGACCCCCAAUCUUAAACUGUCGUUCAUCUUGAGCAAGAUUAUCUACUCAAAUGCACAAUUAAAUUAAAAGAGAAGCAAUUCAUGAAAUAGAUAGCUUGUUGUGUUUGCUUUUAUGUUUUGAAACUGUUCAAACAAUUCAUAAAAGACUUCUAAUCAUGCAACCAAAAUAAUUGUUUCACUUAUCUGACAAGGUUUGAUAUGGGUUCAUAGCUAAUCCAAUUAUUUUAAACCUUUAAAUUGGAUAUAUUCUGACCUUCAAUGGUCAAUUAUUUCAUUUUUUGUCCCAUAAGAGCACUCUCAAACUUGAUAUUCAAUCUCUCAGUAGGUCUAGGGAUAUUUAUUCUAAAAACACCACCAUAUAUUAAUAUGAAAUACUGAAAAACCAAAAUAGGAUCGAUUGUCAAUAGGUAGUAAUUGAAUUUCUAUAAUAUGAAUUUAAUCUAACUAAAUACAGAUAUUGAAUACAUUGCCAUUGGUGCAUUAUUUAAACCUCUUGCAAUCAACAGACUCUAGUACCUCCAAGUAUUCAUCAAUGAUCUUCAAAAAUGCAAAGAAUACUAUACUUUUUCUCUUUUAUCUUCAUUUUUCUAGUUUGUGGACAAUUUCGUUAAUAUGUAUAGAAAUCAUAUUAUUAUAUAUGCAGCUAAUAUGUAAUAAAACUAAAUUGAAAUAGAAAAUGGUGUUUCAAUUUUAUGUUAAAACUAAAAAUUAAUAGGUUUUAAUUUUGAAAAGUUGAAACUUAUUUCAAGUUACAACAAUUCACCACAUUUAUAUUAGAAGUUAUAAUAUGUAUGUUACACUAUAAUAUUAUUAAUUUAAUUUUGUAUUAAAUUGAAAUUAAAAUAGAAACAACAAAUUAAUAAUUUGAAAAUUUAAAACUUAAAUUAUUUAUUUUCCAACAAUUCACCGUUAACAAUUCGCUUACGUCAAUUGUUAAAAUAAGUAAAAAUGACUAUUUUGAUUAAUCGAUUAUUUUUUUAAUUAUUCAUAUAUAAUAUCACAAGCACCAGUUUCAUUUUUUUUUCAAUUACUAGUUUAACAAUCUUAUUUUUAGACUGGUGAGCUAGGAUUAAAUUGCUCUACAAAUAUAUACUCUAUAAAAUAUGUGACAGAUUCCACAUUACGAAAAUAUGUUAGUUAAUUACUUCAUUCUAAUUCUCAAAAUAACGAGCUAUUGAUUAUAUAAUUAAAGUUUCUAGUCCAUUCAGGAUUUAGACGUAUGUUCGAUUGUCAAUUACAUUUAGUUCUAUAUGAUCAUCAAGUAUUAAUUGUUACUUGACCAAGUCCAAUAAUAUUUGUUAUAUUAUAAUCUUUAUUACCAAAGAUCAGAUAAGCUUUAAUAAAGAUGAUACGAACUUAUUAAAAUGCAGUGUCCGACUAUAUUUACUCGCCACAAUCAAUUAUUUCUUGUCACUUUAUAAAUUGAUUCUAUCUGUAUUUGACAACUUAAUAAUUUAAUUUAUAAUAAUAUCCGUGAUCAAAGUACAUUUUAUAAUUUUCUCAUAUUAAUCACAUUUAUAAAAAUAUUCAAAUGACAUAAAUUAUUAUUUAUUCGUUCAAAACAUAAUAUAAAUUAAUGAAUUAGAGCAUAUAUCCAAACAAUUAGAGGAUUUGAAAUUUUUCCUUUUCUUUUUCUCUUCCUUCUUGUUUUAUUUAUUUGUCUUAGCUUUUUUAGAUUGAGGACAAAUUCAUUUUUCACAUCACCUUAAUUUAUAAUUUUUUCCGCCAAAAAUUUCAAUAUAGGGGCGACGAGCUCUUAAAAAUGAAAGGUUGAUGGUCUUAAUAUUAAGACAAGAAGGUUAGGGAAAAACUGCUAAAAAGGUCAAAGUUGAAGAUGGCGCUUGCAAUCUAGCAUUAAAACGAUGGAGAAUUCAGUGAAAAUAAUACUUUUUUUUUUUAAUAAAUUCGCAUGUACGUGUAUUUUAUAACUCGACUCCAACAAAGGGAACUACAGAAAAAUUUAACUCAUUAAAAGAUGGGAAAUACAAGAUAAUUCAAAAUUAAUUGAACAAUCAAAUUUCAAGAGUUUUGUGAUGUACCAGUAAAAGUCUUCAUUUGUGAUAUACCAGUAAAAUUUUUAACUCUCCUAUUAUAUUUGAAUUAUUAUUGAAUUAUAUUAUUUACGUUUAUGUUUAAGAUAGUUAUGUUAAUUGAUAAUUUAUUUACAUACAAAUCGCCAAUUUUUUCCAACACUUGCAAUGAGCGCUUCAAGGCCUCCAUUAUAUCUACAUGUCUAGCACAAGUUAGACUCUUGUCAUAUUCUGUAAGAUUAAUAAUUUACCAUGAUAUUAACACAUAAAAUUUACAAUUAUGUAACGGAUCGAGUUUAAAAUUCCAAAUCAAUUUCCAUUUGCUCAUUACAUUAUCAAAAUUUGCUUCCAUGAUAGUAUUUUGCACAUCUCAAAUAUGCCUUUCGACUAGAAGUACCACUGCUAACGAUGUGCUAGCAGUAACAAUAAGGCAACAAUAAAAUACUAACAUAAUACCAGUCCUCCAAAGUCUAGACUGAUCAUUUAUAUUAGGUUAUGGACUUUAAGAAGAAGUACUGUAGUCCCCAAAUUCAUGUAAAAAAAUUUGUGUUAGGUUAUGGACUUUAAUUUUCUCAUAUGGGUACUGAGGUAGGUACUCAUCAGAUUUUUAGUUCUCCUCGUUUGAUAGGUUUAGUGGUUGUUGUUUUGGUCAAGAUGCUCAACUCUCCUAUCAAAUUAUUUAAACAAUUUGACUGAUAGUUUAGCAACAACGAUUCAUUUAAGAGGUUUAUUUGUAGUUGAUUCGAUCAUUGAAUUUUAUUUUAUUUUUUUGUUAGACAAAUCAAUCAUUGAAUUUUUUUUAUUUUUUUUUUUGUUUCAAUUAUGUCUCUGAAUUUUAUUCUUGCUAUACGUUCGAUCGAUCUUGCAUAAAUUCCUGUUAAAUACAAAGUGGAACUUGUUUACCAAAGACUUUCUGGGAGGCAAUCUCGAUUGAAGCCAAUUCAAAAUUUUCAUACUCAAUCUGUUGGCUAUAAGUCAUGCAAUCCAUGUAUUUAUAGUGCCGUUCUUUAUCAAGGCGUAACUAACAUAUCUUUUAAGUUUAAGACUAUCUGAUUGUUCAGUAAUUAACAAAAACGUUCCUAGAUUAGGUGUAAAUUCGAGAUGGAUGGUAGAUAAAUAAAUAAAUAAAAUAGGAACACUGCAAAAUUGUGUUAGGGAGAGUGUAAAUGAUCACAAAAAAGGACAUUGGUAUAUAAAUUAAACAUUCCAAGGAUCUUGCUGUAGUACAAAAUCAUAAUCUAAAGGAGAAAGCACAAGAUUAAAACUUGACAAUUCAUCUAGAAUUGAUGUGGGAUUUAUCUCUUAAAGAGACCCUCUUGGACAGCCAUUCUUUAAUGUUAGCUGUUUUCUGAGCAGCAGCCGAAGAAAUUACACCCACACAUGCACGAUAAAGUGCCAAAAUAAGAGGAGACUAUAAGCUGAGCAAUAGAUUUAGUUACAAGCGCGAAAGCUGUGAGUUUAUUGGAAAGUAAGAAACUGGAAUCGGAGCGCCUUUUGACUUUACUUUGCUCUUCUGUUUCUCUGCAGAAGGAACUUUCCGAGGUCGGACGAUAGCAUCAGAUAUUUGUGAAGAAGAUGAACUGCUGAAGCAGCUUAAAAACCCUAAAAACGAACCCAUUUUUUAUCUGUUCUUGGCUAUAUGUAUAAGAACUUGUGAGUGGCCACUUAUAUAUAGUUGAAAAUACCUAAGAAACGCGGUGUGGAAUUUUCUUUUUUAUUCGAUGAUGAAAC
This 41497-nucleotide long non-coding RNA is filed under the name Olea europaea (common olive). Its description in RNAcentral is "long non-coding RNA (OEUR_LNC007903)". Lineage: Eukaryota; Viridiplantae; Streptophyta; Magnoliopsida; Lamiales; Oleaceae. The record is from RNAcentral.